RNAcentral lists this ribosomal RNA (253 nucleotides) under uncultured bacterium. RNAcentral describes it as "partial 16S ribosomal RNA". It matches the Rfam family "Bacterial small subunit ribosomal RNA", at positions 524 to 776 of the family's 1533-position model. The record is from RNAcentral.
UACAGAGGGUGCAAGCGUUGUUCGGAAUUAUUGGGCGUAAAGCGCGUGUAGGCGGCUUUGCAAGUCGGGUGUGAAAGCCCUCAGCUCAACUGAGGAAGUACGCCCGAAACUGCAGAGCUUGAGUGCCGGAGAGGGUGGCGGAAUUCCCCAAGUAGAGGUGAAAUUCGUAGAUAUGGGGAGGAACACCGGUGGCGAAGGCGGCCACCUGGACGGUAACUGACGCUGAGACGCGAAAGCGUGGGUAGCAAACAGG